GAAGGUGUGUCGUGAGGCAUGCUGGAGGUAUCAGAAGUGCGAAUGCUGACAUAAGUAACGAUAAAGCGGGUGAAAAGCCCGCUCGCCGGAAGACCAAGGGUUCCUGUCCAACGUUAAUCGGGGCAGGGUGAGUCGACCCCUAAGGCGAGGCCGAAAGGCGUAGUCGAUGGGAAACGGGUUAAUAUUCCCGUACUUGGUGUUACUGCGAAGGGGGGACGGAGAAGGCUAUGUUGGCCGGGCGACGGUUGUCCCGGUUUAAGCGUGUAGGUGUGUGUUCUAGGUAAAUCCGGUUCACUUUAACACUGAGGCGUGACGACGAGGCACUACGGUGCUGAAGCAACAAAUGCCCUGCUUCCAGGAAAAGCCUCUAAGCAUCAGGUAACAUCAAAUCGUACCCCAAACCGACACAGGUGGUCAGGUAGAGAAUACCAAGGCGCUUGAGAGAACUCGGGUGAAGGAACUAGGCAAAAUGGUGCCGUAACUUCGGGAGAAGGCACGCUGACACGUAGGUGAAGUGAUUUACUCAUGGAGCUGAAGUCAGUCGAAGAUACCAGCUGGCUGCAACUGUUUAUUAAAAACACAGCACUGUGCAAACACGAAAGUGGACGUAUACGGUGUGACGCCUGCCCGGUGCCGGAAGGUUAAUUGAUGGGGUCAGCGCAAGCGAAGCUCCUGAUCGAAGCCCCGGUAAACGGCGGCCGUAACUAUAACGGUCCUAAGGUAGCGAAAUUCCUUGUCGGGUAAGUUCCGACCUGCACGAAUGGCGUAAUGAUGGCCAGGCUGUCUCCACCCGAGACUCAGUGAAAUUGAACUCGCUGUGAAGAUGCAGUGUACCCGCGGCAAGACGGAAAGACCCCGUGAACCUUUACUAUAGCUUGACACUGAACAUUGAGCCUUGAUGUGUAGGAUAGGUGGGAGGCUUUGAAGUGUGGACGCCAGUCUGCAUGGAGCCGACCUUGAAAUACCACCCUUUAAUGUUUGAUGUUCUAACGUGGACCCGUUACCCGGGUUGCGGACAGUGUCUGGUGGGUAGUUUGACUGGGGCGGUCUCCUCCUAAAGAGUAACGGAGGAGCACGAAGGUUGGCUAAUCCUGGUCGGACAUCAGGAGGUUAGUGCAAUGGCAUAAGCCAGCUUGACUGCGAGCGUGACGGCGCGAGCAGGUGCGAAAGCAGGUCAUAGUGAUCCGGUGGUUCUGAAUGGAAGGGCCAUCGCUCAACGGAUAAAAGGUACUCCGGGGAUAACAGGCUGAUACCGCCCAAGAGUUCAUAUCGACGGCGGUGUUUGGCACCUCGAUGUCGGCUCAUCACAUCCUGGGGCUGAAGUAGGUCCCAAGGGUAUGGCUGUUCGCCAUUUAAAGUGGUACGCGAGCUGGGUUUAGAACGUCGUGAGACAGUUCGGUCCCUAUCUGCCGUGGGCGCUGGAGAACUGAGGGGGGCUGCUCCUAGUACGAGAGGACCGGAGUGGACGCAUCACUGGUGUUCGGGUUGUCAUGCCAAUGGCACUGCCCGGUAGCUAAAUGCGGAAGAGAUAAGUGCUGAAAGCAUCUAAGCACGAAACUUGCCCCGA
Molecule: ribosomal RNA, 1567 nt
Filed under: Salmonella enterica subsp. enterica serovar Enteritidis
Lineage: Bacteria; Pseudomonadati; Pseudomonadota; Gammaproteobacteria; Enterobacterales; Enterobacteriaceae
Description: partial 23S ribosomal RNA
Rfam family: Bacterial large subunit ribosomal RNA
Source: RNAcentral